Dreissena polymorpha is the source of this 566-nucleotide long non-coding RNA. RefSeq lists it as uncharacterized. The record is from RefSeq and is a predicted model, not a curated record. Lineage: Eukaryota; Metazoa; Mollusca; Bivalvia; Myida; Dreissenidae. The transcript has 4 exons.
ACAAAAUGCCAAAUCAGCGCCAAGACAGUGUUAGACGUAUAUUAAGAUGUCUGGUUCCUAUUUAUUUAAACAGAAGAAGUAUGACAGCGUUGUUCAAGUUGCUACGUAAUGGAAUAACGAUAACGUUCAUGCACUGAACUACUUAUCCGCCGCAGACUACGUGAGUGAUUGGGUUCCUAUUGAGGCUCACGACCCUACCCAGGCUGUUCUGACAUUCCCACACGGGUUGGGCGAGGUUCCCUUGCUAGUUGACGUCUCAGUAAAGUCAACCAAUGGACCGAAUAAGGACUUCAUUUUUCAGGCCAUUGGUUCGCAGCCAAGAGACGACGAUUCACCGCAACACUAUGGGGGCGUGGUCUAUUUUUACAACGAGGAUCACGUGAUUGUCUCGGCCCCGACGCAUACCAACGGCGAACGUUCGGGUUAUGUUAUUUACACAGACAACACAACGUUCUACGCUGGACCCAAUGCAGAUUCCGUGGACGCCGCCCUUGUGCGCGUUCGAGCCUGGCGCGCGUCCAGGCUACCACUCCCGGCGUGGAAGGUCACCGGAAGAACCGUGGGCU